RNAcentral lists this ribosomal RNA (935 nucleotides) under uncultured Prevotella sp. RNAcentral describes it as "bacterial SSU rRNA". It matches the Rfam family "Bacterial small subunit ribosomal RNA", at positions 455 to 1394 of the family's 1533-position model. The record is from RNAcentral. Lineage: Bacteria; Pseudomonadati; Bacteroidota; Bacteroidia; Bacteroidales; Prevotellaceae.
GCACGUGUGCCCCUUUGCAUUUACCCUUCGAAUAAGGACCGGCUAAUUCCGUGCCAGCAGCCGCGGUAAUACGGAAGGUCCAGGCGUUAUCCGGAUUUAUUGGGUUUAAAGGGAGUGUAGGCGGUCUGUUAAGCGUGUUGUGAAAUUUAGGUGCUCAACAUCUACCUUGCAGCGCGAACUGGCGGACUUGAGUGCACGCAACGUAUGCGGAAUUCAUGGUGUAGCGGUGAAAUGCUUAGAUAUCAUGACGAACUCCGAUUGCGAAGGCAGCGUACGGGAGUGUUACUGACGCUUAAGCUCGAAGGUGCGGGUAUCGAACAGGAUUAGAUACCCUGGUAGUCCGCACGGUAAACGAUGGAUGCCCGCUGUUAGCGCCUGGCGUUAGCGGCUAAGCGAAAGCAUUAAGCAUCCCACCUGGGGAGUACGCCGGCAACGGUGAAACUCAAAGGAAUUGACGGGGGCCCGCACAAGCGGAGGAACAUGUGGUUUAAUUCGAUGAUACGCGAGGAACCUUACCCGGGCUUGAAUUGCAGACGCAGGAUACAGAGAUGUUGACUCCCUUCGGGGCGUCUGUGAAGGUGCUGCAUGGUUGUCGUCAGCUCGUGCCGUGAGGUGUCGGCUUAAGUGCCAUAACGAGCGCAACCCCUUUCCUUAGUUGCCAUCAGGUCAUGCUGGGCACUCUGGGGACACUGCCACCGCAAGGUGUGAGGAAGGUGGGGAUGACGUCAAAUCAGCACGGCCCUUACGUCCGGGGCUACACACGUGUUACAAUGGCCGGUACAGAGGGACGGUGCAAUGUAAAUAGCAUCCAAUCUUGAAAGCCGGUCCCAGUUCGGACUGAGGUCUGCAACCCGACCUCACGAAGCUGGAUUCGCUAGUAAUCGCGCAUCAGCCAUGGCGCGGUGAAUACGUUCCCGGGCCUUGUACACACCGCC